Molecule: ribosomal RNA, 550 nt
Filed under: uncultured archaeon
Lineage: Archaea
Description: bacterial SSU rRNA
Rfam family: Archaeal small subunit ribosomal RNA
Source: RNAcentral
ACGGGGUGCAGCAGGCGCGAAAACUUUACAAUGCGGGCAAUCGUGAUAAGGGAACUCCGAGUGCCUGUAAAAUCAGGCUGUCCGCCAGUGUAAAUAACUGGUGAAGAAAGGGCCGGGCAAGACCGGUGCCAGCCGCCGCGGUAAUACCGGCGGCUCGAGUGGUGGCCACUAUUACUGGGCUUAAAGCGUUCGUAGCUGGUCUGUUAAGUCUCUGGGGAAAUCUUCCGGCUUAACCGGAAGGCGUCUCAGGGAUACUGGCAGACUAGGGACCGGAAGAGGUGAGAGGUACUCCAGGGGUAGGAGUGAAAUCCUGUAAUCCUUGGGGGACCACCUGUGGCGAAGGCGUCUCACCAGGGCGGCUCCGACAGUGAGGAACGAAAGCUGGGGGAGCAAACCGGAUUAGAUACCCGGGUAGUCCCAGCUGUAAACGAUGCGCGUUAGGUGUAUCGGUGACCACGAGUCACCGAGGUGCCGAAGAGAAAUCGUGAAACGCGCCGCCUGGGAAGUACGGUCGCAAGGCUGAAACUUAAAGGAAUUGGCGGGGGAGCAC